GGAAGCAUAGUUAUAGCUUACAAGAAAAGUGAAUUUCAAAAGCGUAAAAUCGCUCCUAUAGAGGACUGGGCCGAUCUAUGGCGACCUGAGCUUGCUGGAAAGAUUGCAAUGGUAGAUUCACCUCGAGAGAUUGUGGGUGCAGUGUUAAAGUACAUGGGAGCAUCAUACAACACAAUAGACAUGUCUGAAGUUGCUGGUGGGAAAGAGGCCGUGCAGCAGAAUCUUGCAUCACUUGUUAAACAGGUCCGGCUAUUUGAUAGUCGCCACUAUCUUAAAGCCUUCGGAGUUGGGGAUGUAUGGGUAGCUGUUGGAUGGAGCAAUGAUGUCAUUCCUGCUGCGAAGCGCUUGUCAAAUAUUGCUGUUAUUGUUCCCAAAUCUGGUGCAAGUUUG
This 390-nucleotide unclassified non-coding RNA is filed under the name Hevea brasiliensis (rubber tree). Lineage: Eukaryota; Viridiplantae; Streptophyta; Magnoliopsida; Malpighiales; Euphorbiaceae. The record is from RNAcentral.